UACAGAGGUCCCAAGCGUUGUUCGGAUUCACUGGGCGUAAAGGGUGCGUAGGCGGCCGGGUAAGUCUGAUGUGAAAUCCCACAGCUUAACUGUGAAACUGCAUUGGAUACUAUCCGGCUCGAGGAAUGGAGGGGAGACUGGAAUACUUGGUGUAGCAGUGAAAUGCGUAGAUAUCAAGUGGAACACCAGUGGCGAAGGCGAGUCUCUGGACAUUUCCUGACGCUGAGGCACGAAAGCCAGGGGAGCAAACGGG
RNAcentral lists this ribosomal RNA (253 nucleotides) under uncultured bacterium. RNAcentral describes it as "partial 16S ribosomal RNA". It matches the Rfam family "Bacterial small subunit ribosomal RNA", at positions 524 to 776 of the family's 1533-position model. The record is from RNAcentral.